This 95-nucleotide small RNA is filed under the name Salmonella enterica subsp. enterica serovar Oranienburg. RNAcentral's name for it is "partial RtT sRNA". It matches the Rfam family "RtT RNA", at positions 1 to 91 of the family's 130-position model. Rfam says of the family: This family represents a bacterial cis-regulatory element known as RtT RNA. RNAcentral also lists the same sequence under 1 other name. The record is from RNAcentral. Lineage: Bacteria; Pseudomonadati; Pseudomonadota; Gammaproteobacteria; Enterobacterales; Enterobacteriaceae.
UGUAUCUGAAGCCUGACGAGGAUGAGAACCUCCGGGGGCAAGAGGUUCGACCCGAGCGAAGCGAGAGAACGUUGCGUCAGCAACGGCCCGCAGGG